Molecule: non-coding RNA, 108 nt
Filed under: Clostridium acetireducens
Lineage: Bacteria; Bacillati; Bacillota; Clostridia; Eubacteriales; Clostridiaceae
Also listed under: 1 other name
Description: SAM-I sequence
Rfam family: SAM riboswitch aptamer (S box leader)
About the family: The SAM riboswitch is found upstream of a number of genes which code for proteins involved in methionine or cysteine biosynthesis in Gram-positive bacteria.
Source: RNAcentral
CUCUUAUCAAGAGAGGUGGAGGGAAAGGGCCCUAUGAAACCCGGCAACCAGUGUGAUAUUUAAUGCACUAAGGUGCCAAUUCCUGCAGGUUAUUCUGCAAGAUAAGAG